CCUACGGGUGGCAGCAGUGGGGAAUAUUGCACAAUGGGCGCAAGCCUGGUGCAGCCAUGCCGCGUGUGUGAAGAAGGCCUUCGGGUUGUAAAGCACUUUCAGCGGGGAGGAAGGCGUUAAGGUUAAUAACCUUGUCGAUUGACGUUACCCGCAGAAGAAGCACCGGCUAACUCCGUGCCAGCAGCCGCGGUAAUACGGAGGGUGCAAGCGUUAAUCGGAAUUACUGGGCGUAAAGCGCACGCAGGCGGUCUGUCAAGUCGGAUGUGAAAUCCCCGGGCUCAACCUGGGAACUGCAUUCGAAACUGGUAGGCUAGAGUCUUGUAGAGGGGGGUAGAAUUCCAGGUGUAGCGGUGAAAUGCGUAGAGAUCUGGAGGAAUACCGGUGGCGAAGGCGGCCCCCUGGACAAAGACUGACGCUCAGGUGCGAAAGCGUGGGGAGCAAACAGGAUUAGAUACCCCAGUAGUC
RNAcentral lists this ribosomal RNA (465 nucleotides) under uncultured Klebsiella sp. RNAcentral's name for it is "bacterial SSU rRNA". It matches the Rfam family "Bacterial small subunit ribosomal RNA", at positions 338 to 795 of the family's 1533-position model. The record is from RNAcentral. Lineage: Bacteria; Pseudomonadati; Pseudomonadota; Gammaproteobacteria; Enterobacterales; Enterobacteriaceae.